Macrosteles quadrilineatus (aster leafhopper) is the source of this 184-nucleotide long non-coding RNA. RefSeq lists it as uncharacterized. The transcript has 3 exons. NCBI's taxonomy places the organism in Eukaryota, Metazoa, Arthropoda, Insecta, Hemiptera, Cicadellidae. The record is from RefSeq and is a predicted model, not a curated record.
UCCAGGUGGACUUAUAUACUGAGGAUGAGCUAUGGAUGGUCAGACCACGGAUCUCCACCAUGAACACAUUCUGUGUGGGCGUGGUUUUGCUUGUUGCACUUGCUGAAGUCCAUUCCGGCUACAUCAGUCGGGGAUGGAGUAGCGGUGGAGGUGGAGGUGGAUGGAGUAGCGGCGGUGGUGGAGG